This is an RNA transcript of Gadus chalcogrammus (walleye pollock), 4604 nucleotides long. It is a transcript of the gene named tubulin epsilon and delta complex protein 1-like, with no coding region annotated. The record is from RefSeq and is a predicted model, not a curated record. The transcript has 12 exons. Lineage: Eukaryota; Metazoa; Chordata; Actinopteri; Gadiformes; Gadidae.
CUUGGCCGCUGAGCACUGGUGGAUUGCGGAAGUAUAUGUAGCCUACUACUGACUGUUCCUGGGUGCUUGGGUUAGCCGGAUUGUAGCGCAUAUCUAAAUAGCGAGCUUAGUAAACUUAUAGCAUCUCGUUGCUAAAAUUAAAGAAAUCCACGGGAACCCUCUCCCUUGAGAUACCAGAAACAUACCAACCAAGUGGGUCUGAUCUGCAGCGGUGAAGUUGUGCGGCGUUGAGGAGUUGUGCGGCGGUGAGGAGUUGUGUAUCAUGCAUCAGAGUAAAGGAGCUGUCAGGGUCCAGGAGGUGAUCGGUGCUCUGUGCAGGAUGCUGACAGCUACUGGCCUGGACUCCGUCCCCACACCAGAGGUCUUUAGAAGGGCUAAAUUCAACUGUGGACCUGAGGUGGAGGAUCCAUUGUGGAAAUUGCUCGCCAGUGUUCUUAAAACAUGUAACAUAAUUUCUGUUGAAGCCUCCCCAGAGUUGCCAGAGAUGGCCUCUGACCACAGGAGGCUGGUGGCCGUCGGUCUGUGGCAGAGUGGCUACCAUGUCGACUGGAUCAGAUGUGUGGGAGAGCAGGGGGGGGAGUGUGUCCCCUGCAGUAGGGAGCUGCUCCUGGCCCUGGGCUGGCUGUUGGCGACAGGCGCCGUGGAGACCUUGCUGGCCCACAGAGCGAAGCAGCUUGACUCCACGCGAUGGGACCCUGCAGUGAUGACUGCUCCCACUGUGGGGGAGGCCCAUAUGGACCGCCCCUCUCUGAGGAAGCUUCAGUGGCUGUUUGGCUCUUUGAGGUCCCAGAGGCGGAGCCUUCUAUCAAUGCAGGAAGAGCAGAGCAAGCUCGUGACCAUGGCCCUGUCGGUCGGCCUUUCCUCUUCAUCCUCCUCAAUGUCAACCUUUGUCUCUGACACUAACUCUGCACUGCAGGAGGAGUGUGUCCGUAUGCAGGACCUGAGCCAACUCCUGAAGUCAUACACCGACUGGAAACACACAGAGAAGCUGUUCUGGGUGUGGAUGGACAGCGUGGUGGAGGGCCAUGCGACAGACCAGAGGGUGGCGUGUCCGCUGAAUUCAGACGCUAAUGCCUCGGCCAAUAGGAGCAGAGCUGUCUGUCCCCAUGGUGACUGGGGCCUUGAGUGCCUCAACGACAUGCUGUUGGGACUUCCGACAGUGCAGAGAAAGAGAGGACAGCGAGGAGAGGAGAAGGAGCCAGGAGGACGUCGUCGGGGACAGGAGAGCGAUGACAGACCACCAGCGGAGCGUGACGGCGGGACAGCCCCCCCCCUGCCCCCCUGCCUCUCUCCUUCAGCACAGGGGUACAGGCUCAGGCUCCAGGGGGAGGCUGGGGACCCUGGGGCCCUGAGGGCCUCUGAGAGACGCCGGCUGCUGAUGCUGACAGAGUCCUCCUUACUGGAGGGGAGGGAGAGAUGCCAACGGGCCAAUAGGAUGCAGUUCCAGGAGAUGAUUGGCAGGCUAGAGGAUAUGGUGUUGAUAGCACCUUAAGUGAUUUCAAGUCUACUGAAUAAAAAAAACAAUACUGUGUGUGUGUGUGUGUGUGUGUGUGUGUGUGUGUGUGUGUGUGUGUGUGUGUGUGUGUGUGUGUGUGUGUGUGUGUGUGUGUGUGUGUGUGUGUGUGUGUGUGUGUGUGUGUGUGACACUUAUUGGCUCUUAUAUUCAUACCAAUCAUCUUUUAAAUCCACUCAAAUCGAUUAUCAUUAAAUCAUUUUAAUAAUUGCUACAAAGGAACACCGUUAGGAUACAGCAAUACAAAAAUCUGAAAUGACAGUGAUUUCUAAAUUAAAAUGAAUAAAUUACAAUCUGCAGGUGUAGUUAAUAUAGAUUUGCCCUGAGUUGAAUUACAUUUGUGGUAAUUGUUGUGCCUUAAUGAGAUGUCUUUCAAGGGCCUGCAUCACAGGACAUGUGUCACCUGGUGCACUGUGCAGUGUCAUGUAAAAUAUUAAUGCAAUGCCGGACCUUGAAUUUCCUCAUGAAAUUUAAAUUCUAACAUCUUCCUUUGUUCUAAAUGACAACAAUGUCAUUGAUUUGGUCCAGCUGGUUCCCUGACAACAUUGGGUAAAACCAGGGUCAAACCCGCUAUGUUUCCCAUCACCAAGUACUACUGUGGUCUUUUCUAGCUGCAGACAAACUAAUAUUGUUUGAGAAGAAGACAAUUAUUUGCCCUAACUACAACAUACUUGUAGAAAAACAACAAAUUCAUCAGAAUUGUGUAAAUAUAUUUAAUAUCUGAAACUGUUUCAGAAUACACACACAUCAACUGACACAUCUUAACCUUUGGGACUAUUUAAAUAUUUUACAUACUGAGGUCAGUUUAAAAUACUUCAGGUUUAUUGGUUUAUUCUUGAUAUAUACAUGGCUGUUUUAUUGAAUUUUGAUUUUACACAAAUAAGCACACUGGCUUAAAAUGUAGGUGAAUGAUCAUUUUGUGUUAACAACCAGCAGUUUCUGCAUGUAGGAGUUGAGCCACUUCUGUCGCUCCAUGGCUGUGAGCAGCUUGCUCUUCUCUCUGAAGGCUGCGUCGUCUGCUACCACCAUGUUCCUCUUACCCACGGAGCCACGGCUCCACUCAGCCGGCCAGCCUUUAUCCAUCCUACACACCAUAACAUGUUUCAUGACACAUACACAGAUAUAGGCAUGUAUAGUGUCGCCAAUAUUGAUAAUGCCCUGAAUGAAUGGUUAUUUCAACAGUCAAGAUUUCUACAAUCUUACCUAUGAAAUGUUGAGCCUUAAAUAAAAUCAUGAGGUGUAAGACUGAAAGUAAAGUCGGAUAAAUCCUGCUUCUGUACACCAAAGCUCAGACAUUCUCUUGUUUUGUUACUGUUUCAGAUCAGGUGAUUAACUGCAUCAGAGACCGCGGUAUGUUUAAAUAUGUGCCAUUACCCAAUGUUGAAAGGAUUUACCUGGACUCUUCACCUUCUGAAAGCUGGGACUUGGGACCAGACAGCCACACCCUACCAAUUAAACGUGGCUUGCUAUUGGCUGCUGCCAUGAGGCCAGGUGCUGACGUCAGCUCAAUUCCCCAGUUGUGAAGUGAGAAAUAGGGAAGGUGGACAUCAUAGUCAUCUUCUGUCACCUCAUCUGAAUUGUCUGGACUGCUAAAAACAUAGAAGAACAGAUGAAAGCUGUAGAAGAGGUCGAGGGUACCCCGAGGUCAGCAGAGUGGUAGCCAGGAUGCAAAGCAGAAGCAAGGAAGAUCGGGAAAACAUGGGCAGCUGAGACAUCCUUAAAGCACCGAGAACCAGAGGAUUCAUCAUCACAAAGGAAGAAAGAAAGACAGAGGAUUCAGAUGAAUCAUGCUUUCUGUGAAAAGGACCUUUCGUCUGAACUAUGCAGAACUUUUAACAAGUUUCCCCAGGACCAUCACUAUCGAGGACCUUUUUGGGAUCCACAGGGGGAACGAUAUCGGUCUGGACAUCAGCUAUAAGGUCACUAAAGAUAACGGCUGGGACCAUGUGGCAGACUGAUCCCAGUGCCCCCCUCAGCCCCAGAGGACAGCGUUUGGGACCGACCUUGUUCAAAGCGUGAGGCGCACUGUGCAGUCAACUCAUGGAUGCUGGUGCCCGGGAGAACGCCAAGAGCCCUGGGGUUGGACCCGACCUCUGGGCAGCACACUGUGAGAAAGUCCUGCAAAACAAACCCAACAUGCAACAGCAUAUUGUAACACAUUGAGAGUGAUUAUAUGCAGCAUAUGGAUCCAGCUAUAAUAAGUGGAGUCUCUGUAUGGAUGUCUAUUGUGGCAAGCAGGCUCCGGCACAGCAACCCUAGAGGCCCAGGGGAGAGGUGGUAUACGGGGUAUACCACCCAUAUCCCCCAGAUGGUGCCAAUGAGCGCAUCACCGCUUUCACCAAUUAGCGGGAUUCAAUCACCUGAGCAGCAGGUUGAGUGGCCAGGCUUAAAUAGCCGGCUUCAAGGCUCUAUCAAGGCUGUUGUGGUUCUAGGGUGAAGGGACCGGUCUUCGAGACGGAGGAAAACCAGUUGGAAGUCACUCCGCCCAGAGGGACACGUCCGUAUAUUCCUCCCAGGCGCACGGAGCCAAGACUCUUUUUGUUCCUUUUAGUAGUCUUCUCUAUGUUUGAAUAAACAUGCCUUUUUGGCUUAAGCGGCACAAAAAUGCGUUAAAAGGCACAAAAAUAAAACAACGGUCCUGUUGGUUCCAAUAAACACAUGGAAGCACAGCAGGUAGAACGGGUUAUACCCACAGAGCCUAAUAGACUAAUCCUGCACUGUACCUGGUAUAGACUCAUCCUGCACUGUACCUGGUAUAGACUCAUCCUGCACUGUACCUGGUAUAGACUCAUCCUGCACUGUACCUGGUAUAGACUCAUCCUGCACUGUACCUGGUAUAGACUCAUCCUGCACUGUACCUGGUAUAGACUCAUCCUGCACUGUACCUGGGCCAUGCGCUGCAGGUACAGUGAACUCAUACCUGCACUGAGCCCUGGGACAUGCGCUCUUUGUUCAGGGUGCGCCGUCUCUCCCAGCGGUUGAUGGAGUCCUGAACCUCUCUGCUGAGCUGCCGCGUCGCCGCCCUCUGCUGGUCGAAGGUCUUAAUGUGCUCCAGAGCCCCAUAGGUGGUGGUCAGGUAAUAGGACCCUAC